GAUAAACGCUGACAGAAUGCUUAACACAUGCAAGUCAACUUGAAUUUGGGUUUUUAACUUAGAUUUGGGUGGCGGACGGGUGAGUAACGCGUAAAGAACUUGCCUCACAGCUAGGGACAACAUUUAGAAAUGAAUGCUAAUACCUGAUAUUAUGAUUUUAAGGCAUCUUAGAAUUAUGAAAGCUAUAAGCACUGUGAGAGAGCUUUGCGUCCCAUUAGCUAGUUGGAGAGGUAACAGCUCACCAAGGCGAUGAUGGGUAGCCGGCCUGAGAGGGUGAACGGCCACAAGGGGACUGAGACACGGCCCUUACUCCUACGGGAGGCAGCAGUGGGGAAUAUUGGACAAUGGACCGAGAGUCUGAUCCAGCAAUUCUGUGUGCACGAUGAAGUUUUUCGGAAUGUAAAGUGCUUUCAGUUGGGAAGAAAGAAAUGACGGUACCAACAGAAGAAGUGACGGCUAAAUACGUGCCAGCAGCCGCGGUAAUACGUAUGUCACAAGCGUUAUCCGGAUUUAUUGGGCGUAAAGCGCGUCUAGGUGGUUAUGUAAGUCUGAUGUGAAAAUGCAGGGCUCAACCCUGUAUUGCGUUGGAAACUGUAUAACUAGAGUACUGGAGAGGUAAGCGGAACUACAAGUGUAGAGGUGAAAUUCGUAGAUAUUUGUAGGAAUGCCGAUGGGGAAGCCAGCUUACUGGACAGAUACUGACGCUAAAGCGCGAAAGCGUGGGUAGCAAACAGG
Molecule: ribosomal RNA, 735 nt
Filed under: uncultured Fusobacterium sp.
Lineage: Bacteria; Fusobacteriati; Fusobacteriota; Fusobacteriia; Fusobacteriales; Fusobacteriaceae
Description: bacterial SSU rRNA
Rfam family: Bacterial small subunit ribosomal RNA
Source: RNAcentral